ACUCAUGGCGGACGGGUGAGUAACGCGUAAAGAACUUGCCCUUUAGACUGGGAUAACAGAGGGAAACUUCUGAUAAUACUGGAUAAGUUAGUAUAUCGCAUGAUAUGCAAAUGAAAGCUACGGCACUAAAGGAGAGCUUUGCGUCCUAUUAGCUAGUUGGUAAGGUAAGAGCUUACCAAGGCGAUGAUAGGUAGCCGGCCUGAGAGGGUGGACGGCCACAAGGGGACUGAGAUACGGCCCUUACUCCUACGGGAGGCAGCAGUGGGGAAUAUUGGACAAUGGAGGGAACUCUGAUCCAGCAAUUCUGUGUGUGUGAAGAAGGUUUUAGGACUGUAAAACACUUUUAGUAGGGAAGAAAAAAAUGACGGUACCUACAGAAGAAGCAACGGCUAAAUACGUGCCAGCAGCCGCGGUAAUACGUAUGUUGCGAGCGUUAUCCGGAAUUAUUGGGCUUAAAGGGCAUCUAGGCGGUAAGACAAGUUGAAGGUGAAAACCUGUGGCUCAACCAUAGGCUUGCCUACAAAACUGUUGAACUAGAGUACUGGAAAGGUGGGUGGAACUACACGAGUAGAGGUGAAAUUCGUAGAUAUGUGUAGGAAUGCCGAUGAUGAAGAUAACUCACUGGACAGAAACUGACGCUGAAGUGCGAAAGCUAGGGGAGCAA
Molecule: ribosomal RNA, 664 nt
Filed under: uncultured bacterium
Lineage: Bacteria
Description: bacterial SSU rRNA
Rfam family: Bacterial small subunit ribosomal RNA
Source: RNAcentral